GUUGAUUACGUCCCUGCCCUUUGUACACACCGCCCGUCGCUACUACCGAUUGAAUGGUUUAGUGAGGUCCUCGGAUUGACCCCUCUGUGGUCGGCAACGGCCGCGGAGGCGCGUCGAAAAGACGAUCGAACUUGAUCAUUUAGWGGAAGUAAAAGCAAUCCCUCUCGCCUCGGCGAGCUUAAAGCAAAAAUGACGAAGACUCUCAACGGUGGAUCACUCGGCUCGCGGGUCGAUGAAGGACGCAGCUAAGUGCGUAAAAUAAUGUGAAUUGCAGAACAYAUAGAACAUCAAACCUCUGAAUGUAAAUUACAGUCUCGGGUUCACCCCGGGACUUCGUCUGGUUCAGUGUCGUUUAACAAGCCGUACGCCGCCCUAAGCAAGCGAGCGAAUCGUGGCGGGCCGGGGCGCGAGCCCCGCCCGUCCAAGGUGUCUGACUGAAGUAUCGUCCCCUCUGGGGGCCGCACUAUGUGGUACUCGUACUGUGAGGUGCGGGCCUUCGGGCCGGCUGGCGUCGCGAGAUGCAACCAUCAAACCUAUCACGUUUUGACCUGAACUCAGGCGGGGCAACCCGCUGAAUUUAAGCAUAUUAAUAAGCGGAGGAAGAGAAAGCAACUGCGAUUCCCUUAGUAACGGCGAGUGAAUCGGGAUCAGUCYAGCGCUGAAUCUGCGCGUCCCCGUGGCGCGUCGAAAWGUAGCGUAUAGGUUUCCCUUUGCUCGCGUCGGAGCGCCCCUUAGUUCUUCUGAUAAAGGCUUCGCCCAGAGAUGGUGUCAGGCCAAUGUUGGGGCGACCGGCGCGGUCUUCGGGUUYCCUCGGAGUCGGGUUGUUUGAGAAUGCAGCCUAAAGCGGGUGGUAAACUCCACCUAAGACUAAAUAUCACCGCGAGACCGAUAGCGRACAAGUA
Molecule: ribosomal RNA, 902 nt
Filed under: Molgula pugetiensis
Lineage: Eukaryota; Metazoa; Chordata; Ascidiacea; Stolidobranchia; Molgulidae
Description: eukaryotic LSU rRNA
Rfam family: Eukaryotic large subunit ribosomal RNA (bases 545-902)
Source: RNAcentral